This 4709-nucleotide long non-coding RNA is filed under the name Salvia miltiorrhiza (redroot sage). Its description in RNAcentral is "long non-coding RNA (SMIL_LNC007049)". Lineage: Eukaryota; Viridiplantae; Streptophyta; Magnoliopsida; Lamiales; Lamiaceae. The record is from RNAcentral.
CUUAAUCAUAGGGAUCCUUGUAUGACUUUGUAGAAGUGUAAUAUUGACUGUCAUCUCCUCUUCAAGCGUACACUUACACUAUAAAAGGGAUGAUUGUAAUGAGAAAUAUAAGAAAUACAGUAACAACCAUUGGCUUCUCUUUAUUUUUCUCUGCAUUAUGAUGAUACCAUGUUUUAACAGAUAGAAUUUAUGGAUGUAAGCAGAUUAUAACGGCCUGCAUCUAAUAAUUAUACCAUCCCUUAUAUGUAUUUAGUUUUAUAGCGAACUGUUACGAGUUAUCUGAUUGUGUUAUGGUUUGUUGUUGACAGCAUGGAGGUGAUACUAAUGCACGUAAUCGUAUUGGAGAAACAGCUUUGCAUUGGAGUGCAGUGAGGGGUCAAUUGAGGUUGCUGAACUUCUGCUGCAGGUAGGGAUGUCAAUCGGGCUAGCCCACCGGGUUUUCGGGCUAGCCCUAUCGGGUUCCGGGUUAGUGGGUGCGGGCUAAUGGGUUGGAGAUUUUUUCGGGUUGUAAAUCUUCAACCCUAACCCUAAACUUUCGGGUUUCGGGCUAGCCCAUCGGGCUAAUCAGGUUAAAGGCGUAAAAAUAAAAUUAUCAUUUGUAUUUUAUUAAUCCUAAUAUCUAAUGUAUAAUAUAUAAAAUAUACAUAGAUAUUAAAGAUAUAAAUUAUAUAGCAAAGCAUGAAAUGCAAAAAUAUAAGAUAUUCAAGAUUACAUAAACAAAAUUAUAUUAAAAUGAGAUAGUAAAAUUUAACAUGUAUCAAUGCACUAGAAUCAAUCUGGAUUAUUACUGAAUAAUUAGUGGAUUUGCCAUGCACGUCUCAUUGACAAGAAAAAAAAAAAUGGUAUCACUUUAAAAUGAGAUACUAAUAAUUAAUUUCUAACUAAUGAGAUACUAAUAAUCAAUUUCUACAAAAAAAUCCGUAAUUAAUUUCACUUUUUUUAAUGAGAUUGCACACACACACACACACAUAUAUAUUCUAACUAAUUAAUUUCACUUUUUUUAAUGAGGCUACGUAUAUAUAUUUAAGCAAAUACCAUAGAUCUAAACAUAGCAGAAGUUGUAACUUGAUGCAUCAGUCACAAUUCCGUCAGCCCACCGGGCCAGCCCAUCGGGUUUUCGGGCUAGCCUAUCGGGUUCCGGGUUAGUCGGGUGCGGGCUAAUCGGGCUGGAGGUUUUUUCGGGUUGCGAUUUUUCAACCCUAACCCUCUAAUUUUAUCGGGUUAUUCGGGUCGGCCCACGGGUUUCGGGUUGCAUUGACAUCCCUAGCUGCAGGAGGGUGCUUGUAUCAGUGCAGCUGAUUGUCUAGGUUAUCAGGUUUGUUUUACAUUCUUCUGUUACUAGUUGAAAAUAAUUGAUCUGAGUUUUAGACGAACUAUGCAAAAGAUUAAUUUGUUAGAUCACCAUCAUAGUCUUGAUAUAGUUCCACAAAUAUGGCAUUUUGUUGCAAAGUUAUUUGGUGUUUCAGACAGGGGUCAAUAGAUGUCUGAUGGCGACAAUGACAUUUUUUGCCACUAUUUCUCACGAAUCUUGAAUCGACAAACUAUAUUUUGGGGUUUGUGAUUGACAUUUAUUUUAUUGCUCUGGAAGUAGAUACUAAAUUACCUCAAUGUUCCAUUUCCAUUAUAGACUUUCUUCGAUUAUACUAUAGGUUUUAGGUGAGGAAGUAUUAGUUUUGUAUGGAAGCAAGGUUGAUGUUUCAAUUUUAUGAUCUAUUGGAUAUGUUUUCUGGGGACCAUUAUCAUUUAUGUUGGUAUUAGUAGUUUGGAUUCUCUUAAUAAUUAUAGAUAUGUGCUCCCUGUUCUAGUAUUUUGAUUUGGUCUCCCUUUUCACUUGUGGUCAAGAUAUUUAUCACUUGGUCAUUGCAAGUUUGGCAUAUCUGCUACUUUUAUUCUUCUUUAAUGUUCUUUUCAAAAAUCAAUUCUAUCAUUUACUUCCUUAUAUACCUGGGCCAUGUUCGUGGUGACUUUUGAUAGAACACAUGCAUUGUAGUUUUGUUGUAGUGUAAGAGAAACUUUAACACUCAGUUAAAUUGUGUUGAGUGUUAAACGAAGUAAAAGUAGCUCUCCAACUGUUUGCUAAAUAUAUGCACGAAGCAACAUAAAAGAAUCCAAAUUUUAUAGACCAAAUAUCUGCUUACACUGCAACUGGCAAAGGUAUUUCUUUCUUUCUCUGAUUUUCUUAGAAAACUUUGUAUUGAAAUGCAAUUAUUAUUUUAAGUUUAAGUUCAUAAGGGAACUAUCCUAUGUUCUGUCUUAGUUGAGGGCUUGCAGCUGCUGUCUUUGGCAUGUUAUUUCUCUUUCUUUCUUGUUAGACUUCUAAAGUGGCUUUAAUUUGCUAAAUUUAGUUUGUUAAUUUCAUUGAUGACUGAUCAUGACUGUAGGGCUGCUUACAAGGGAUUUCCUGAUUGCUAUUUGCCUUCUGCUAUAUCUGAAUGCUCAUAGAACGCGACAAGAUAAAGAAGGUUAGUUGGAAUGCUCCACGCUACAUGUAUAAUCGUGUUUCAUAUUUGUUUUUACUGUGUCAAAAAUGUGUCCAGUUAGCUACUUCAGUAAGCAUCUGAUGUCGUUUUUUUUUUUUUUCUAGGUUGUACCCCGCUGCACUGGGCUGCCAGUAAGGGUAAGUUAUAAGCAUGCAAUCUCCUGGUGAUGGCAAGGAAGAAAAAAGAUUUGAUGGUAACAGAAUGUACCGGCUGUACACCUGCACAACUUGCUAACUUCUAUUUCCCUGUGUUAUUGUUCUUAAUAUGAGACAAUUCAGUAGAAGUGUUGGAAUAAAUAUCUUAUUUAAUGUCAUAAUUACUUUGGUAAUUAAUGGAAUUAAAUGAUAUUUUUGAAUCUACAUGUUGAGUAGAUUAAAUUGGUAUAUUUACUUAUUUAAAUCUAUAAAGAAUUGAAUGAGUAAUUAAUGCCAAAAAUGUGGCGACGGUUUAGGACUGAAGAGACACGAUGGUUCGGACAUAUUUAUCCAAACAGUGCGCGUGGCAGCGGUUAAGGACCGAAGAGACACGAUGGUUCGAACCACAUGUUUACCCAAACAAUACACCUCUUCCGACAGAAGAGAACAUCUCUUCAAACAAAGAAGGGUGCACCUCUUCGGAUUGGAAAGUCACGUCCGUUCAAGGAAACCCCUGGAACACUAUAAAUAGGGCCCUCCAUAAUGAGAUUAAAUACACCAACGAAUUCAGAUAAUCAAUUUGUCAUAUUAGUUUAGUUUACAUACUCAGUCCCGAGUAUCAAGCUGUUCGACCGGAUAGCGAUCUCCUAGUGCUAAGGACUCGUCUAUCAUCCCAAAACCGUUGUAUCUUGGGGGCAAUUACUGUAGAUCCGCAAGCACAAGAGCGGAAGUAAUUUUGCCUUACGAAGAGAGAAUUUAUUCUCGCCUCGGUUCUGCAUCUUUUCCAUUUAUCGUCAUUCUAUUUUCUACACUACCAAAUAACAAGAAGAACAGUUAAAAACCAUAAAUUUGAGAUGUAUAUGGUAGUAUGAUACAUGAGAUAAAGAUAUGAGCCAUCAUCUAUUUUUAUCUCUUUGGGUAUUCUUACACACACAAAGUUGUUUAACUAGUUAAAAACCAAAAUGGAGAAUUGAGAGCCCUGAACAACAUUUGACUCACGUUGGCACAUUGAAACAUUUUUUAUCCUCUUGCUUGCAAACAAACAUGCCCAAUAUGGAUUACUCCAAGUCAGCUCGCUUCUUGGAGCUGUAAUGCAUCCUCAAGUCUUUCCACUAUAUCUGUCAUUGAUGGCCGGUCUCUUCCAUAAUCCAGUAGACAUCUUCCAGCAGUUUCCAAGAAUAUAUUUAGGCUAUCUCGUGGUGUUCUCCCAACUAGAAAGGGGUCAAUACAACCAGAAAAGUGUUGAGAAUAAGAAGUCAGUAAAAGCAGCAAACAAUAAAAGUUAGUCAAAAGAUAAAGUUAGUCAAAAGAUAACCAAGGAUCCCUUAAUCAUAGGGAUCCUUAUGACUUUGUAUCAGCAAUAUUGAAUAUCAUCUCCCAUCAAACACUAUAAAUGGGAGAAGUGUAUCAGUAGGAAAUAACAAGCAAUACAAUAACAAUCAUUUGCUUCUCUUUAUCUUUCUCUAUGCAUUAUGAUAAUACCAUGUUUUAACAUGGUAUCAGAGCAAGUUCAAUCCUAGGAACUCAGAAACAAAUCAUCAUCGUUCAUAAUCCCAAACCAAAACCUUUCUUAGCCAAUUCACCAAAUCAAGGCAGCCUCUGUUCUUCAUUUCCUGAAAAAAAAAAAAAUGCCAGGAGAGAUUGAAACCAUAAACCAAACAGAUUCAAAUAACCCAAAUCCAAACAGAAUCCACAGAAUGGGUCGAAGAGACCCAAAUCCAAUCAACUGCAAUGAAGAAGGGAUUAAUAAGCACCGAAAAUUAAUCGGAAAUUGCCGAUUAUUUCAGUUCCUCCCUGGAUUAGAUGGCAGAUAUGAUAAACUUUGUCGGGACAUUCUCAAGAAAGUUCCCGUUACCUCAGUCGAGUCGGCGUUCUCAAAAGUGAAAAGGGAGGCCGCCCGACUACAAAACUUGCAGCCGGCAACCAAUCGCUCCGACAUCGACGCCUCAUCAUCGGGAGGGGUCGGAGCCGGACUCGCCGCCACCCACCGCCCUACUCAGCGGCCUGAGGUCCAACCGCCACACACCGCCGCCGGUCCAGGCAACACACCGGAGUGGUGGGAAAACAAUCACAAAAUUGCCAAAGGGAAGAAAGC